Molecule: transfer RNA, 76 nt
Filed under: Bacteroidota bacterium
Lineage: Bacteria; Pseudomonadati; Bacteroidota
Also listed under: 2 other names
Description: Bacteroidetes bacterium (activated sludge metagenome) tRNA-Lys
Rfam family: tRNA
About the family: Transfer RNA (tRNA) molecules are approximately 80 nucleotides in length.
Source: RNAcentral
GACUUCGUAGCUCAGUUGGUAGAGUAGCUGACUCUUAAUCAGUGGGUCCUGGGUUCGAGCCCCAGCGGGGUCACCA